UUACGCAUGUAAAGAGAGAGAAAGGGUCGGUCUUUUAACUCUUCUUUGUUCCUUCUUACCUAGAAAGUGGAGAGGAUAUGGAAAGCUAUAUGGAGAGAAUAGCUGGUUUCUCAGACAUUUCUUCUUCAUCCCCACCAUCUGUGUCUUUCUCAACAAUGAUUCCCUCCCGUCUGUCAUUCUCCAACAAAGCCUUCACUUCUCCCCCAAAAUUCCAUUCACCGGGCGAAUUGAACCACCGCACGAAUACCUGCCGCCUAUGAACUGCGAACACCACCACCAAAGUUCCCAACCGUUCACCUGAGCACCUCUAGCCAUUCACCUAGCGAAGCAGUAGCAGACUUGAGUGACAACACUCACUUUGAUCCAGUCAAUGGUUAUUGAUAAGGAACUGUGGCUAUACAUCAUGUUAAUGAACCGUGACUAUUCACGGUGGUUGUCAGUGUCAGGAACUGAUCUGAACUACCAUAGCAGUGUUGGUGGAUGCUCAGGAGGUGAUUGGUAGCAACCCAGGUCUGAUAUGAAGUUGUUUGGAAGAUAGAAUGGCUUGAGGUGGUGAACCUAAAGAGUAUUCACAGCCAAGCCAAAGUAGUUGGAGCCAAGCCAAAAGUAGUUAGAACAAUUACUGCUGUUGCAGGAGCCACACUUAACAAAAAGGGUGUUAUUAUGAUCGUAAUGGGGUAGAUUCACAUCAUUCCCUCAGGGUGUUAUUAUGAUUACAAUGGGAUGUUUCGACUGGUCUGGCUUCAUGGUUUUGCAAGUGUGAGGUGAAGCUUCUACCCAUUUAUUUCGGUCUCGCCUUGCGAUUGAGGUAACCAGUUAACCACUCUUGAUAAUUAUUAUUUUGAAAGCUCAGAUGUUGAAUGUGUCAUUUGGCUAAACUCAUCUCCAGAAAGGGACUGUUUGGGUUAGGAAUGCUCAUUGGUAUGGGUCACAAAAGCCUACUAACUUGAGAUAUCACUCUAUCGAUUAUUGUGAUAAGUAUUUACGAGAUAUUUACUUUUUAGGAAAUGGCGGAGGCUCGAUCGAGAGCAAAAGCAUCUUUGGUUUUAAAAAGCGCACCUGAGGCGCAACGCGUCAUCAGGAGCAGGCUGCUGUGAUUAAACCCUAGGCGAAUGUUUUUCAAUGCAACCAAUCAUGCUUGAUUACAUAUUUGAUCUUGGCUAUUCUAAAAUUUGUUUACACGUGUUACUGUUUGAAAUUUGAUGAAGCACAAGUGUAUGGAUUACAUACUUUGUAUGAUAAACUGCGUAUUUACGCCGCCGCAACGCGCGGUGGGUAAAAGUUCUAGUUUAUAAAAAAUACGAGAAGUUAUUUC
Long non-coding RNA from Helianthus annuus (common sunflower), 1315 nucleotides. RefSeq lists it as uncharacterized. The record is from RefSeq and is a predicted model, not a curated record. The transcript has 5 exons. NCBI's taxonomy places the organism in Eukaryota, Viridiplantae, Streptophyta, Magnoliopsida, Asterales, Asteraceae.